UUGAGCCGGAUGAGAGGAAACCUUCAUGUCCGUUUUUGAAAGGGGGAGAUCUUAUUGGAUUNGAUCCUAUCUAAAUUUUUCGUUUGGUAGACCCGUAGUUAAAAUACCCACUUUCU
Molecule: non-coding RNA, 116 nt
Organism: Vigna radiata var. radiata (mung bean)
Lineage: Eukaryota; Viridiplantae; Streptophyta; Magnoliopsida; Fabales; Fabaceae
Source: Rfam